ACCACUCCCACAAACGUCUACGACCGCGCCUACAUUCGACUACAUAGUUUUGCAUGUUUACAAUUCUAAUUUUGAACAGCCAAUCAGGUUCUUGGUAACAAUUACAAUUAAACGUCGAUUGGCUGUUUAAAAUUAGAAUUGUAAACAUGCAAAAAUAUGUAGGCGCGGUCGUAGACGUUUGUGGGAGUGGU
Molecule: non-coding RNA, 191 nt
Organism: Paramuricea clavata
Lineage: Eukaryota; Metazoa; Cnidaria; Anthozoa; Malacalcyonacea; Plexauridae
Source: the annotation of a GenBank genome assembly